Molecule: non-coding RNA, 725 nt
Organism: Dermacentor albipictus
Lineage: Eukaryota; Metazoa; Arthropoda; Arachnida; Ixodida; Ixodidae
Source: RefSeq, a predicted model, not a curated record
UCGCGUGUUGUUCCGAAGAGAAUUGUUCGUCCCCAUUGUCCGCCGCCAUGUUGCAUUGCGAUACAAGUGCGCCGUGCGAAAAUAUGCCUUCCUUUGACUCGACAGCAUUGGGAAAUUGUCUGCAAAAGUGCGUUUCGUGCGCGAAUGCUAUCAUCUAGACUGAAAUGAGAGGAACGUUGUUGCUACUUCUUGCAACAAUUUACUUCGCGAGGACUGCAGAUGGAAGCGGGGAGCAAAAUAAUGAUGCUACGAAACACACAAAACUCUUGGAUGGAUGGACGUUCUUUUCACGGCGUUUGACGUAUUUUAUGCUAAGAAGAACAUACGACGUGGCAGGAGGGUUAGAGAAUUGCUUGUGCGUCAUGGCCCCCUUUUACCCGUACAGUGACACGCAACAGCACAGACUAACCACGACGCUUACUUACCAGAAUAGAAGCUCCAGCGAUGCACAACCUAAUCCAGGAUCUUCUCAAGGAGCUUUCAAAUGGCCUACCGCGAAAAUACGUAUGCACUUUUCCAAGGCACACUUGUCCAUAUCGAAAACUGCGCGUGGCUUCAAUCGUGUAAAAUCAUGGAUCCGAACAAACAAAAACUGUGCAGUUGUCGGUGUGUAUGACCCGACAAUCUUGACGAGCGGCCAUUCGGUUGGUGGGCCUAACGGGACUGGCAUCGGCGUAAGACCACUGUGUGAAGUGUGGGCAAGCGUGGUCAAGAAUACAAGGGAA